AGUGAACGCUGGCGGUAGGCCUAACACAUGCAAGUCGAACGGCAGCACAGUAAGAGCUUGCUCUUACGGGUGGCGAGUGGCGGACGGGUGAGGAAUACAUCGGAAUCUACUUUUUCGUGGGGGAUAACGUAGGGCAACUUCCGCUAAUACCGCAUACGACCUACGGGUGAAUGCAGGGGAUCUUCGGACCUUGCGCGAUUCAAUUAGCCGAGGUCGGAUUAGUUGGUGGGCGGGGUAAAGGCCCACCAAGGCGAGGCACCGUAGCGGAUCUGAAGGGAUGGCCAGCCACACUGAACCUGAGACCCGGGCCAGACCCUAAGGGGAGGCAGCAUUGGGGAAUAUUGGAAAAGGGGCGCAAGCCUGAUCCAGCCAUACGGGGUGGGUGAAGAAGGCCUUCGGGUGGUAAAGCCCUUUUGUUGGGAAAGAAAAGCAGCAGGUUAACACCCCGCUGUUCGGACGGUACCCAAAGAAUAAGCACCGCCGAACUGCGU
Molecule: ribosomal RNA, 491 nt
Filed under: uncultured bacterium
Lineage: Bacteria
Description: partial 16S ribosomal RNA
Rfam family: Bacterial small subunit ribosomal RNA
Source: RNAcentral